GCCCCCGACAUCCUAUUUGCUGUUCCUUCCUUGUGCCACAUGUGCCAACCCCUGUGCCUGGGCCUGAGAACAGCAUUUGCUCAGACACUGUUAUUAUCCACAGGGGUCUGUGCCAUCACCAGAGGGAGAGACAGAAACAAGCUGAGGGGCACAUGUACAGGAGCACAGUGGAGUGCCAGGUACAGCCCAGUCACUACCACGCACCCCAAUGUCGCAGUCCGGCUGCAGCAAAAUAACCAGGGCGGGUGAUGAGCAACUUGUGUACAUCGAUUCAGCAGGAGUGGGAGCCGUUUAUUGUAGGACAGGAGGGGUAUAUAUACAUUACACACAGCUUAUCUUAAUUAACAUAAACUAGAUACAGCAGUCAACCAAUAAGGAAUCUCCACACUUAAUGGCUUGCUGGCGUUACUUCACAAACCACUCCCUCUGGCAAAAUGCCAGGCGCCAUCUUGACUUGUUUAUAGACCCUAACACCCCAAUCCUGCUCUUCUAGCCCGGCUGACUGAAGCUCUUGCACUUUCAGUGCUCCUCAAUGCUUCUCUGCCCUGCCAGCUCCACAUAUGCUAGAAAAACUCAGAAAACUUUCCCCAUAUCCCCCAACUGAGGAUGACAUCCUUCUGUGCUCCUGGUACGAUGGGCACAUUCCUUAUCAUAGCUCCUGGCACGUUGUUCUGGAGUCAGCUUUUUUUCUGACUUGUGCCCCACAAUAGACCUUGCAUCCUGAGAGCAGGAACCAUGUGACUUAUUAUAUGACUGCCUUCGCACUGCUUAGUGUGUACCUGCC
This 784-nucleotide long non-coding RNA is filed under the name Marmota monax (woodchuck). Lineage: Eukaryota; Metazoa; Chordata; Mammalia; Rodentia; Sciuridae. The record is from RNAcentral.